AACGAACGCUGGCGGCAUGCCUAACACAUGCAAGUCGAACGAAGGCUUCGGCCUUAGUGGCGCACGGGUGCGUAACGCGUGGGAACCUGCCCUUUGGUUCGGAAUAACCAGGAGAAAUUCUGGCUAAUACCGGAUGAUGUCGAAAGACCAAAGAUUUAUCGCCAUAGGAUGGGCCCGCGUAGGAUUCGCUAGUUGGUGAGGUAAAGGCUCACCAAGGCGACGAUCCUUAGCUGGUCUGAGAGGAUGAUCAGCCACACUGGGACUGAGACACGGCCCAGACUCCUACGGGAGGAAGCAGUGGGGAAUAUUGGACAAUGGGCGAAAGCCUGAUCCAGCAAUGCCGCGUGAGUGAUGAAGGCCUUAGGGUUGUAAAUCUCUUUUACCCGGGAUGAUAAUGACAGUACCGGGAGAAUAAGCCCCGGCUAACUCCGUGCCAGCCGCCGCCGUAA
RNAcentral lists this ribosomal RNA (449 nucleotides) under uncultured bacterium. Its description in RNAcentral is "partial 16S ribosomal RNA". It matches the Rfam family "Bacterial small subunit ribosomal RNA", at positions 29 to 523 of the family's 1533-position model. The record is from RNAcentral.